Molecule: RNA transcript, 2149 nt
Organism: Choloepus didactylus (southern two-toed sloth)
Lineage: Eukaryota; Metazoa; Chordata; Mammalia; Pilosa; Megalonychidae
Gene: PEX2
Gene name: peroxisomal biogenesis factor 2
Exons: 4
Source: RefSeq, a predicted model, not a curated record
CCAGUCUUCCGCAGCGCGCUAAAGCUUAGUUCUUGUUGGUUUAAUUUCCUCUUUUUUUCCAGCCACUUCCGGGUCCUGGGUCGCUCCGGAAGACGGUGGGUUCCGGAAGCCGGGGUAGCCCAGGUUCUGCUAGGAAAAGCCAAGCUCUCAAGAGAAUGUUUCAGAAAAAGUUACGUGGAGCGUGAGCGUUUCACAGAUUUUUAAGGUUGGUGUCUGCCGGAGAGAGCCGGAGUACAAACCUGAGGUCUUGCUUAGCAGCUAGGAGAUCGUGGAGUUUCAUGCUCCUGGCAAAUAUGAGGUGAGGAAUUCACUGAGGAACUUGCAGUGAAAAAUCCCCAUUGCCAUAGCUACAGGCUUUCAAGUCUUGAGGGAGCUGCAGAAAGGGGGAAAGAGACCCUCAAAGAAGACAUGGCUUCUCAAGAAGAGAAUAUGAAGAAUACAAACAGGGUGCUAAGGAUAAGUCAGCUGGAUGCACUUGAACUAAACAAGGCCCUGGAGCAGCUAGUUUGGACCCAGUUUACUCAGUGCUUUCAUGGAUUUAAGCCAGGGCUGUUAGCCCGCUUUGAGCCAGAGGUGAAAGCAUUCUUGUGGCUUUUCUUGUGGAGAUUCACCAUAUACUCCAAAAAUGCCACUGUGGGACAGUCAGUUUUGAAUAUUCAGUACAAAAAUGAUUUGUCCCCAAACCUGAGAUACCAGCCGCCAAGUAAAAAUCAAAAGCUAUGGUAUGCCAUUUGUACAGUUGGUGGGAAGUGGUUAGAAGAAAGGUGCUAUGAUUUGUUUCGAAACCGUCAUUUAGCAUCAUUCUGGAAAGUCAAGCAGUGCAUGAAUUUUGUAGUUGGACUUUUGAAAUUAGGUGGGUUGAUUAAUUUCUUGAUUUUUCUUCAAAGGGGAAAGUUUGCAACUUUGACAGAACGUCUCCUAGGCAUUCAUUCUGUAUUUUGCAAGCCCCAAAAUAUACGUGAAGUUGGCUUUGAGUAUAUGAAUAGGGAACUUCUCUGGCAUGGUUUUGCUGAGUUUUUGAUUUUUCUCUUACCACUUAUCAAUAUCCAAAAGUUGAAAGCUAAGUUAUCGUCAUGGUGUAUCCCUCUUACUGGUGCUCCCAGUAGUGACAACACAGUAGCCACAAGUGGCAAAGAAUGUUCUCUAUGUGGAGAGUGGCCCACCAUGCCUCACACCAUAGGAUGUGAGCAUAUCUUCUGUUAUUACUGUGUUAAGACUAGUUUCUUAUUUGAUAUGUACUUUACUUGUCCUAAGUGUGGCACAGAGGUACAUAGUCUGCAGCCACUGAAAUCAGGAAUUGAGAUGUCAGAAGUAAAUGCUCUUUAGAAACUAAAAUUCUUUCUUCUGAGGAAAAAUGUAUUAUGUUUAAAUCCUUAAUAUUAAUCCUCUUAAGUAUACCAUUUAGAUGUCUUUUAUGAGGAUAUAUAUAUAUAUGUCUUAGCCAUUGUCUUCUGUUCAUUUCCAGGCCUGACUAAAUGCUAAUCUCUGGAAACCACAUGAUUUUAGGUAAUAUUAUGUUUGCUGUUGUGUAUCGAAGUGGCUUCAGUGAUCAUAUCUAAAAUACUAGCAUUAUCAAUCAAAACUAACACAAGGCAUGUCUUACUCCCUUGCUCUCAACUCUCCUCGCCUUCAGUACUUUGUGACUGUGGUUCUGGACAAGUUUAUUUAACUUUUCUAAGAUUCCGUUUGCUCACUAUAAAAUGAGCAUUCAAUAAUAUCUACCUCAUAGGAUUGUAAUGAGAAUUAAAUAAUUUUAAUCAUUCCUUCAAUAAAUAUUUAUUGAUCCCCUACAGGCAUUCUUCUGUACUUUGGGAAUGCAUUCAUGAAUAAAACAAAAUCCCUGUUCUUGUGGAGUGCUAGACAAUAUACACAUGUGUAAGGUAAUUGCAGGUGUUAGAAGUACUCUGAAGAAAAUAAAACAGGCUAAGGGAAUGGAGUAUCAAGGGAUGCUGUAUCCAACUGUAUGCUCAUGAAGUCCUCUUCAAAGGGGUUAACUUAGAAAAGAAGUCUGAAUGAAGUGAGGGAGCAAACCAAGUAGAAACAAGGUGCCAAAAUAAGGAAAGCUCUGAGAUGGAGGCUCCAUUGCCCGUAUGAGGAACAGCAAGAAAACAGAGUGAGCAAGAGAAAGAGAGGGAGGUAGAAAGGGAGG